This 479-nucleotide long non-coding RNA is filed under the name Capra hircus (goat). RNAcentral describes it as "lncRNA (ENSCHIG00000008297.1)". The record is from RNAcentral. Lineage: Eukaryota; Metazoa; Chordata; Mammalia; Artiodactyla; Bovidae.
AGCUAUACUCAGCAACUUGCUGUUUCUCAUACUUGUUAAUUUUCUCCCCAUACCAGAUCUCUGCUCAUCCUGCCAGGAGACCCCAGACUGGUGCCUCUUCCAGGAAGAGUCCCUUAGCUGCAGGGACAAUAGUGAUGAAGAUGGUGAAUCUUGGAAAGGACUUAGGAGCCAAAGAAUGAGCCAGGCGUGGGUUUGUGCCCAACACCAUGUGUCCUGGCUGGAGCAUCCAGGCCGAAGCUUGAUUUACAUUCAGGCUGCAUCCCUGAUUGGUGAAGCUGGACUUGCUUGUCGUCCUGAUGAGUCUGCCAUUCUACAUGAGGACGUACGAAAAGAAGCCUACGGCCUCAAGUGAGGACCACCUCAAAGUCAUGGCAGCCUUUUUGAACCUCGCACUUGUCCAUCGUGUCUAGCAGGCAGAAGAAUCAGUUGUCAGCAUGGCAUACCCACCGCAGCAGCAUACCCUCCAGAGUCUCUAGGAA